This is a long non-coding RNA of Pyrgilauda ruficollis (rufous-necked snowfinch), 1636 nucleotides long. RefSeq lists it as uncharacterized. The record is from RefSeq and is a predicted model, not a curated record. The transcript has 3 exons. NCBI's taxonomy places the organism in Eukaryota, Metazoa, Chordata, Aves, Passeriformes, Passeridae.
GCGCGGUCCGGCCGCGCUGCGCGGUCCGGCCGGCAGAGGGCACUGGCGGAGCGGGACUGGCUGAGGGCCCCGCCGGGCCCAGCAGCACCUGCUCGGCCCAGGCCCAGAGCGCCCGCGGCUUGGGAACGUCCCUCAGGGCUCUCCCCAUGAGGGCACCGGCUACAGGAGUGACCAGUGGGGUCCUUGGGCAGACCAAAUCUCUCCUAAGGAUGGAUCUCUUCCAUAGGACGGGGAUGGAAGUAAGACGCCUCUGAGGAAAGAGUCUGGGAAUGUGGCACUUUUCUUCCCCUCUCCCAUCCACCAGCCUCCAUCCAGUGACCUGCACUUUGAACAGCCACUGAACAGCUGGGGGAGAUGGGGAUUUUUGGAGCCAGAACACCAUCCCCAUGUCCCUUGGCUGACUCUGGCCAGGACCCACAUUUCUGGGGGACCCACCCUCUUGCAGCCUGCAGAGCCCUCACUCCCGUUAGCAAGCAGGUUUGCUUUAUUUCAAGUUAACAAAAUGACAUGGGCUGCAUUAUUUGAGCUCAGGACCCUCCUCGACCUGUUGGCCGCUGUUUCCCAGCACUGCACCUCUUCCCAAGGAAGGGAACCAGCCAGCUCUGCCUGGAACCUGCAGCUCCAGCACCGGCCGGCAGCUCAUGCCGACGGCGUGGGCAGAAAUACCGGGAUGCCAUGCACUACAACUCUGUGCUACCAGAGCAGAAAUCGUAGGUGGGCUGGAGCACUGGCUCCGAGCAGGCCAUUCCAUCUACAGCCAAUCUCCAUAUUCAAGGUCCAGGAGCAGAGUUUCCAGGCUGCAGCUUCAAUUUUUUCUGAUCCACCAAGUCAAUUGGAUGCACAUGCAAGCUGGAUCCUGAGAUUUUAUGGCUUUUUAAUGAGAAGAUGUGUGGGUACACCAUGGGAAGCUCCCUGUCUAUACAGCUGUCACCAGCUCUGCAAUAACAAGAAUCAUGGCUUUGGCUCUCAGCUCUGAAGCUCAUCUCUUCACAUUCUGAAGUGAAGAUUUCUCUGAAUAAAUGAAUAAACUGAGAUCUUCAAAUGAAUGACAGAUUCUUCCUCAGGUCAGCUUUGCAGAGGAAGCAAAUAUUUCAGGAGAGUAUGGUUACUGCUCAUAGCUCUCUGGAGCCAGCCUGCUAACUCCUCUGCGGUGGCUGUAAAUCUGGUGGUGGUUCAGCUGAAGGACCUCACAGAUGCUAUUUCAGGCUGAUAUAAUGUACCAUAAAUGGGAUUGAAAGCACCCAUCUAUAGCAGACAAAGCCUUUCUGCUUCAUUCAAACACCGAGGAAACCGACCAUUGUAUAUAUGCACAGUUGGGAUUCAUCCAAAAGUGAGUGGUAGCCAGAAGAAUUUACACAUUCCCUGGCUAGGGAACAUGUUGAUUUCAGAAGGCAGCAAAGGUAACACAAGGAUACAGGGAGACUCCCUUGCCUGGCAUUUAGUAUUUGAAUCUCAUCCUUUGACUCACCAUGAAAGGGAAGAGUCCCAGAAGGACAGAAGAGCCCCCAUCACAAAUGAUAUUCCUCAUUUAGAGGCAACAAGGUAUUUGGUCUCCAUGGGAUGGCAAGAAAACAGAACUUGCUCUUGGGGUCUCUGGCUGAAUUUUAGGGGGUGCCUAUCUAGCUGAAAUGAUACA